GGAUGUGAGGGUGAUCUGGCUGCGACAUCCAUCACCCCAUUGAUCCCCAGGGUUGAUUCGGCUGAUCUGGCUGGCUAGGCAGGUGUCCUCGUCCUCCCUCACUGCUCCAUGUGAGUCCCUUCUGAAGCUGAUGCUCGGUCGAACAGGAUAGGAUGACCUUCCCCAAUAGAGGAGAGAACCGUUCUUUGGUCAAGGGUAUACGAGUAGCUACGCUCCCCUGCUAGAACCUCCAAUCAAUAUACUAGAGUGAUUUGAAAAUAAUAAUAAAAGUGAGAUAUUUCAUGGAAAAGUUUGGAGGUAAAGUGAGGACUGUAAUCCGCGAGUUAUCCUGGGGUAAACGC
RNAcentral lists this small nuclear RNA (341 nucleotides) under Pteropus alecto (black flying fox). RNAcentral describes it as "7SK RNA". It matches the Rfam family "7SK RNA". Rfam says of the family: 7SK was discovered as an abundant small nuclear RNA in the mid-70s but a possible function has only recently been suggested. Two independent studies have found that 7SK RNA binds the CDK9/cyclin T complex (known as elongation factor P-TEFb). Lineage: Eukaryota; Metazoa; Chordata; Mammalia; Chiroptera; Pteropodidae. The record is from Rfam by way of RNAcentral.